UACGAAGGGUGCAAACGUUGCUCGGAAUCAUUGGGCGUAAAGCGCACGUAGGCGGCCUGAUAAGUCGGAUGUGAAAUCCCACAGCUUAACUGUGGACGUGCAUUCGAAACUGCCAGGCUCGAGUAUGGAAGAGGGUCGCAGAAUUCCCGGUGUAGAGGUGAAAUUCGUAGAUAUCGGGAGGAAUACCAGUGGCGAAGGCGGCGACCUGGGCCAAUACUGACGCUGAGGUGCGAAAGCGUGGGGAGCAAACGGG
This 253-nucleotide ribosomal RNA is filed under the name uncultured bacterium. RNAcentral describes it as "partial 16S ribosomal RNA". It matches the Rfam family "Bacterial small subunit ribosomal RNA", at positions 524 to 776 of the family's 1533-position model. The record is from RNAcentral.